AUCCAGGUGACGAGUCCCAAAUAGAACGAAAUGCGCCUCCUGUAU
This 45-nucleotide non-coding RNA is filed under the name Trichobilharzia regenti. The record is from RNAcentral. Lineage: Eukaryota; Metazoa; Platyhelminthes; Trematoda; Strigeidida; Schistosomatidae.